CUAUAGCCAUACCACCUUGAACACGUCUGAUCGUGGAAGCUAAGCAGGGUCUGGCCUGGUUAGUACUUGGAUGAGAGAAAUAACAGGUUGAAUUACAGG
This is a ribosomal RNA of Chlorocebus sabaeus (green monkey), 99 nucleotides long. NCBI's taxonomy places the organism in Eukaryota, Metazoa, Chordata, Mammalia, Primates, Cercopithecidae. The record is from Ensembl.